UGGGGAAUAUUGGACAAUGGGCGAAAGCCUGAUCCAGCCAUGCCGCGUGAGUGAAGAAGGCCCUAGGGUUGUAAAGCUCUUUCGCUAGGGAAGAUAAUGACGGUACCUAGUAAAGAAGCCCCGGCUAACUUCGUGCCAGCAGCCGCGGUAAUACGAAGGGGGCUAGCGUUGUUCGGAAUUACUGGGCGUAAAGCGCACGUAGGCGGAUUGUUUAGUCAGAGGUGAAAUCCCGGGGCUCAACCCCGGAACUGCCUUUGAUACUGGCAGUCUAGAGACUGGAAGAGGUGAGUGGAAUUCCGAGUGUAGAGGUGAAAUUCGUAGAUAUUCGGAGGAACACCAGAGGCGAAGGCGGCUCACUGGUCCAGUACUGACGCUGAGGUGCGAAAGCGUGGGGAGCAAACAGGAUUAGAUACCCCCGUAGUCC
RNAcentral lists this ribosomal RNA (424 nucleotides) under uncultured prokaryote. RNAcentral describes it as "bacterial SSU rRNA". It matches the Rfam family "Bacterial small subunit ribosomal RNA", at positions 355 to 796 of the family's 1533-position model. The record is from RNAcentral.